Molecule: ribosomal RNA, 422 nt
Filed under: uncultured Chitinophagaceae bacterium
Lineage: Bacteria; Pseudomonadati; Bacteroidota; Chitinophagia; Chitinophagales; Chitinophagaceae
Description: bacterial SSU rRNA
Rfam family: Bacterial small subunit ribosomal RNA
Source: RNAcentral
AGUAAGGAAUAUUGGUCAAUGGACGAAAGUCUGAACCAGCCAUGCCGCGUGGAGGAUGAAGGCCCUCUGGGUUGUAAACUUCUUUUAUCUGGGACGAAAAAGGGACUUUCUAGUUCAACUGACGGUACCAGAGGAAUAAGCACCGGCUAACUCCGUGCCAGCAGCCGCGGUAAUACGGAGGGUGCAAGCGUUAUCCGGAUUCACUGGGUUUAAAGGGUGCGUAGGUGGGCAGGUAAGUCAGUGGUGAAAUCUCUGGGCUUAACCCGGAAACUGCCAUUGAUACUAUUUGUCUUGAAUAUUGUGGAGGUCAGCGGAAUAUGUCAUGUAGCGGUGAAAUGCUUAGAUAUGACAUAGAACACCAAUUGCGAAGGCAGCUGGCUACACAUAUAUUGACACUGAUGCACGAAAGCGUGGGGAUCAAA